UCGUAGGCGGUUUGUCGCGUCUGCUGUGAAAUCUGGGGGCUCAACCCCCAGCCUGCAGUGGGUACGGGCAGACUAGAGUGCGGUAGGGGAGAUUGGAAUUCCUGGUGUAGCGGUGGAAUGCGCAGAUAUCAGGAGGAACACCGAUGGCGAAGGCAGAUCUCUGGGCCGUAACUGACGCUGAGGAGCGAAAGCAUGGGGAGCGAACAGGAUUAGAUACCCUGGUAGUCCAUGCCGUAAACGUUGGGAACUAGAUGUGGGGGCCAUUCCACGGUCUCCGUGUCGCAGCUAACGCAUUAAGUUCCCCGCCUGGGGAGUACGGCCGCAAGGCUAAAACUCAAAGGAAUUGACGGGGGCCCGCACAAGCGGCGGAGCAUGCGGAUUAAUUCGAUGCAACGCGAAGAACCUUACCAAGGCUUGACAUAUACCGGAAACGUCCAGAGAUGGUCGCCCCGCAAGGUCGGUAUACAGGUGGUGCAUGGUUGUCGUCAGCUCGUGUCGUGAGAUGUUGGGUUAAGUCCCGCAACGAGCGCAACCCUCGUUCUAUGUUGCCAGCACGUAAUGGUGGGAACUCAUAGGAGACUGCCGGGGUCAACUCGGAGGAAGGUGGGGAUGACGUCAAAUCAUCAUGCCCCUUAUGUCUUGGGCUUCACGCAUGCUACAAUGGCCGGUACAAAGGGCUGCGAUACCGUAAGGUGGAGCGAAUCCCAAAAAGCCGGUCUCAGUUCGGAUUGAGGUCUGCAACUCGACCUCAUGAAGUCGGAGUCGCUAGUAAUCGCAGAUCAGCAACGCUGCGGUGAAUACGUUCCCGGGCCUUGUACACACCGCCCGUCAAGUCAUGAAAGUCGGUAACACCCGAAGCCAGUGGCCUAACCCCUUGUGGGAUGGAGCUGUCGAAGGUGGGAUUGGUGAUUAGGACUAAGU
Molecule: ribosomal RNA, 921 nt
Filed under: Frigoribacterium sp.
Lineage: Bacteria; Bacillati; Actinomycetota; Actinomycetes; Micrococcales; Microbacteriaceae
Description: bacterial SSU rRNA
Rfam family: Bacterial small subunit ribosomal RNA
Source: RNAcentral